GGGGUGGGCUUCCUUGAUAUUCAUUAUUUCAACCUAGCAAUGUUGACAAAACAAGCUUGGCGUCUCCUAGAGAAUCCAGAGUCCUUAUGAGUGACCAUGCUGAGAGCUAAACAAUUUCCUGAUGGAGAAUUAUUGAAUACAAAGUUAAAGAAGGGUUCCUCUUUUACUUGGCAAAGUAUUUUGUCGGGGGUUAAUUGUGAAAAUCAUGGUUAUAUAUGGCGUGUUAGAAAUGGUCAUUAUAUUGAUAUUUGGGAAGAUGCUUGGGUCCCGAAUUGUGCAAAUAGAAAACUAAUCACCCCUAGAGGGAGUAAUUUUAUCUCAAGGGUCUUUGAUUUAAUUGACCCUGUUACUAAUAAUUGGGAUGAAAAUAUGGUUACACAAACAUUGUGGCCAGUUGACGCACAAUGGGUCCUUGCAAUUCCUCUUCCUCAAUAUGACACGUUGGAUUUUGUCGCUUGGACCUAUUAAAAAUGGAAUAUUUUUUGCUCGAUCAGCUUAUGCUAUGGAAUGGGAACACCAACACGUGAGAAAACUUAG
This 537-nucleotide ribosomal RNA is filed under the name Triticum aestivum (bread wheat). Its description in RNAcentral is "partial small subunit ribosomal RNA". The record is from RNAcentral. Lineage: Eukaryota; Viridiplantae; Streptophyta; Magnoliopsida; Poales; Poaceae.